AAGGAAUAUUGGACAAUGGAGGCAACUCUGAUCCAGCCAUGCCGCGUGAAGGAAUAAGGCCCUAUGGGUUGUAAACUUCUUUUAGACGGGACAAAACCCCUUUACGUGUAAAGGGUUGAUGGUACUGUCAGAAUAAGCAUCGGCUAACUUCGUGCCAGCAGCCGCGGUAAUACGAAGGAUGCAAGCGUUAUCCGGAAUUAUUGGGUUUAAAGGGUGCGUAGGCGGACUAAUAAGUCAGUGGUGAAAGCCUGCAGCUUAACUGCAGAAUUGCCAUUGAUACUGUUAGUCUUGAGUACAGUUGAGGUAGGCGGAAUGUGUCAUGUAGCGGUGAAAUGCUUAGAUAUGACACAGAACACCGAUUGCGAAGGCAGCUUGCUAAGCUGUAACUGACGCUAAGGCACGAAAGCGUGGGGAGCAAACA
Molecule: ribosomal RNA, 421 nt
Filed under: uncultured bacterium
Lineage: Bacteria
Description: bacterial SSU rRNA
Rfam family: Bacterial small subunit ribosomal RNA
Source: RNAcentral